Molecule: long non-coding RNA, 5683 nt
Filed under: Populus tremula
Lineage: Eukaryota; Viridiplantae; Streptophyta; Magnoliopsida; Malpighiales; Salicaceae
Description: long non-coding RNA (PTRE_LNC000199)
Source: RNAcentral
AAAAAACAAGUCACUCACCACUGCUUAGACGGAACUAGACAAGCCUCGAUAAGGUUUCAAACAUCGGUCAAUCAAAUUCUUGCAUAAACUAAAACACUCGCAAUCCCGAAAUGGCGAGGGAUAGUUGUCUGGCUCGUAUAACUGCCGGCGUUGCUGUUGGAGGUGCUAUUGGUGGCGCCGUGGGUAAGUUCUCUCAUCAUAAACCCUAAAACAUCUUCUUGUUCUAGUUUUUAUCAAUACCUUCGCGUCUUGUUAUUGGGUGUGGUUCUUUAAUGCUCCCUAAGUUGUUGUUAUUUAAAUUUCCAAAGUCCACCGAUUUAUCUUCUCAUACAAACACACAAAAUCCAUAAACCAGUUGUCCUAUAAAUUUACGACUUCCAUUGUAUUACGCCUUGAUUUGGGAAAGGGGGAUCGAGGGACUUUUUCUUGAUUGUGAGUGCAAAAGUUGAUCUUUGAAUGCCAAUUUUUUCACUACUCUUUGGAAUGCUUUGGUGAAAGAAAUCCUGUACCACUAGAUGUAGACUGGUUUUAGGAGUACUGUAAAGGGCGUGAUUUUAAUGAAAAGACUGGGUCUAAUACAUCAAGACUUGAAAUUUCAGGAGAUGUGCAGAUGGGGUUUAUUUAUAAGAAGGUAUUAAAUGGAAGUCACGGAAUAGCUUGCAAAACGGGGACGCCCUUGAUGAUAUUGCCGGGUGCCUAAUAGUGGUGGAUUUCUUUAUUCUAAACUGAGAGGCUCCCGUGUUCUUCAACUUAGAAGCUUGAGAAGUUUAAUUAAAAUAGCGUUGGUAACUUUUGUUGGUAACUAAAAUAGCAGGGUCUCUAGAAGUGUUUGUUUGAUGGAAUUGGAAAAAUUAUAGUUGGACUAGAGUUGGUUAAAGAGAAUGGUGACCGAAGUCUGUUAAUUGUACUGUACGGGGAAAGAUUUAUAAAGAAGCAACAAGUCCACACUGAAUUUAAGAUGAUUGCAGAGAGAAAUAAAACAGCUAGAUUGUAGCUUAAGGGGCUGUUUGUUUUGCAUCCAAUAUUUUCCUGCGAAAACAUUUUCUCAUAAAAUGAAAUAUUUUACUUUGUGGAUGUGACAUGGAAAACAAGCUGGAAAAUAUUUUUCAGCAACACUGGAAAUUGUUCAGAUGAUUAUUGAUACAGGAAAAUCAAUUAUGUUUAUUACCAAAGAUAAUUUAUCACAAAUUAAACAUAUAAUUUUUUUUGUUUGAUGGAUAUGUAAAGGAUUUUUACUUUUAUUUGGAUUGUAAUAAACUAUUUGUUUAUGAAAUUUUAGAACAUUAGGUUGCCAGCUUAGCCAAUGACAAUCAUGUGUUUAAAAAUACAUCGACAUAGGUUUUAUAACCAAUAUAUGUCCCAUGAAAAUAGAAUGUUAAAAUGCAAUUUUAUCACAAUAGGAGAUUUCAUAGCCAAACACGUGUCAAUAAAAAUAGAUAUAUGAACAAAAGUUUACCAUGACAACUACAUGUCCAAAACCAGAAGAAUAACUUAGUACAUGUGAAAGUCAUAUUUCCAUCUUAAACAAACAUGCUUUAAUUUUAAAAUUUCAUAGUGAUAGGUAAGUUUGUAGCCAACAACUCAAUGUAAACAUUAAAUAGAAAAACUGUAGGGUUAUUGUAGCAAUGACCUGCCUGCUGAGGGUAGCAACGUGGUCUAGGAACAUGAACUAGGUUGUGGAAAACAUAAUAUUUAAAAUUCUAGCUUUAACUUCUUUGAUGCAAGUUAAAAGGGUGUGCUUGUACAGUUUACACAAUGGAACUUUAACUAUCUUGGUGUGUGCUUUUGCACUUCAUAUCUAGCCAUGACCAUUGAUUUUCUCAUUGAUAUGCAAAAAAGAAACAUUGGCUAGUGGACAAUCUUAAAAAGAUAGUUUCAAUUCAUACAAAUCCAGUCUUAUAUAUUCAAUCUUUGGUUCACUGUUAAAACUAUAGUUUGUUUUGCUUCAACUAUCCAUCUAAUAUGAUUUCUGUGCAGGUGCUGUUUAUGGAACAUAUGAGGCAGUAAGGUAUAAGGUACAUCAUCUGACCUGAUACCGAAAUUCACAAUUUAGAGUGUGGAGACCUUAUUAAAUGCCUGCUCUUGACCAUUCAUUGUUCUUUAGUGAAAUAGAAAUAUGUACCCUGUUGUCUUCUUUUUCUUUUGAUUUAUAGUCUGAGUGAAUGGAAUAUUUUAUGUUACUUAAUGUGUUGCAUAUUGUGGAUUCUAACUUGUAAUUUCCAUGCUUAAGUAUGCGUGUAAAGUUCUAAAGAGAUGGAACAAUGAGCAUCAACUUGGAACUUAAAUUUUAUGAUCAUGGCUUCCCUUAAGUUCAUGUUUGUAUGCUCCUUUUCACUAUGUGCAUCCCCUCUAUCCCCUGCCAUAGAUAUGAAAUAAAACAGAAGGUCAGAAACAGCCAGAAGAUAAUGGCGUGCAUUGGUUUUUGUCACCCUCAUUUUUCUGUUUGGGCUGAGCCUGUGAGUUUAAUCAGCCCUGAGAUGCUUAGAAAGAUCUGUUUCCUUGUGCUUCUGGGUGUCUCUGUUUGCUUUCUGGAGUAGACUUUGUGAAACUCACAACUCUCAAAGGCCGUUGGUUGUUACUAGUUCUGUCAUAUGGUCCUGGUUGCCUUCAAAAAGAUUUCCCACUGCCCAGUUAGUGAACAUCCGCCCUAUCUGCUAUUUUUUAUUUUAUUAAAAUACUAUCCAAAUUUUGAUUUUUUUUUUUGUUUAUUUAUGCAGAUUAUCUUGUUUUAGAUAUGUUAUGUUAAAGGAGUUUAAACUGAAGUGAAUGCAUUUUUCUUGGUAUUCCAUUGUAAGUGUUCAUCAGUUAAUUAAUUAGUUUGGAAAAAUUCAGGUACCUGGACUUUUGAAGAUCAGAUACAUUGGACAAACCACACUUGGCAGUGCUGCCAUCUUUGGUCUUUUCCUGGGUGCUGGGAGCUUGAUACAUUGUGGGAAAUCAUAUUGAUUUGUUCUAUUCAGAGCAUCAAGAAAUCAACUUUGUUCUGCUCACAAGGAUCUGUGCUUUCAACUUCACUUGCCUUUGAGCUGAUGGAUAGAACUUGUGGUAGCGAUUAGUUGUUUCUUUCAACAUAAAAUUUCAUAUGAUGUUAUGGCUUUCAGAAACAGCUUAGCAGCAAUUAGCCUUGCGAAAUUUCUUGGUUAUUGUCACUUUCACAGUUGUCUGGCUCCUUGAUGGUUGCCUCUUUUUUUUUCUUUUUUGCCUCUCUCAUAGUAGUAGUCUUUUCUUUAGAUGUAAAACUUUAUCUAUGCCAUUUCCAUUGCCAAUCCAUAAUUUGAUUUACAUGGCCAAAAGCUGUAUUAGCACUCGUCUUUAUAGUCUCGAAGAGAGCAAAUGAAGAUAUAGCAGCAAAGAUGUGGGAACUGAUCUCACCAUGGGCUUGACCAUAGGUUUUCAUGGUCUGAUAUCGCCUUAGCACCUUCCGGUGAAGAAAUGAAAGUUCGAUUCUUUAGAGCUAUUAUUUAGAGCGAUGGGACUCAAGAAAAGAAGAAAACUAUCUUGAUCAUCAAAUUUAUCCCGGGCUUAGCUUCAACAGGCAAUUAGAGUUAAACAUACAAAUGGUUGAUAUCAUAAAAGACGCUUUCUGGGCAUCAUCAAGACAGAUUGAAAAUGCAUCGAUCAAUCUGCAAACUACAUUUUUAGUGCUUCGGAUUCGGUAAUAGCUUCGGUUUGGAAUCAGAUGUUUUGACCUGUGGUCUACUUUUCUUCUCUCUUUUUUUUUUAUCCUUUUCUAGCCAGCAUUAUACAUUGUUCACACAAACAGCCAUAAAAUUUCACACAGAAAUCGCUUUUUUAACUGUCUUUGACCUCUUCUGUUAAAAUCUGCGAAGAAUUUAGAAAGAAAAAAUAAUUUAGAAUUUAACUACUUAAGAGACCUAAUUGAGAUGAAAAAUAUUUUAAGGACUUAUUUGAUUCUUAGCCAUAGUAUUGGGGGCUAAUUUCGAGGUUUUGCCGUGCCCUGAAGUCUUCCCGAUCAAAACUUAAGAGGAGAGGAGGCUGGUUUCCAAACGUCAAAUCGUCUUCUUAUUCUUAUUCUCCCUCGAAGCCGCCAAACUGCGGUCUCCUUCAACACCAUCACUGCUUUAGUUUCUCUCUGUAACUUUCAAAUUCAAACAUCACAACAGAGGGAAACCUUGUAGAAACCCCUCUCCACUACCAACAGGUAAACCUUGUAGAAACCCCUCUCCACUACCAACAGGUAAACCCCAUAAACAUCCCCUGCUCAAAAUUUGAUUUCUCUGUUGUUUAAUGUUACUGAACUAGAGAGCUAGUUAUGGCAUCAAAGCUGCUUAAACUUCUUAAAUAAUAUUUAUGUUAUUUUAUUUAUUAAGGGUAGAAUAAUAUUUUUAUUUUAAUCUAUAUAUAUUUUAUUUAUAUUUAGCUUAAUACAAUACAUUUAUAAUAAAUAGAUUAUUCAGAAUUCUAACCUUUAUUUUAUGUUUGAUUUCAAUUAAUUUAACAUGAUAUUAAAACUGGUUUUAUAAAAUGAGGCUUAAUUCUAAAUAUAAUUUUGCGGAUCUAACUUUUUAGAUUGCUUCGAGAUUUGGUUCAUGUACAUUAAUUUUUUUUUUAUAUAAAAAAUAGUGAAAGAUAAUUCUAAUCAAAAAUAUAAAUACUUAUCCCAAAGUUAUAAAGUUUUUAGAUUAAAAUAUUUAUUUUUAGAUUGAAAAUCAUUUAGUAAUGAUAAAUUGUUAAUUAAGGGAUCCAGAAUUUAAAAUUGUUUUCUAAGUUUACCUAAUACAUGACGCUCAUGUGUUAAUUAAGUAAUAAUUUUGAUUUUAUUAUUUUAAAUCGUAUAAAAAACUUGAUUAAGAAUACCCUUUGCAAAUUAAUUGCCUCAAACAAUUCUUCAAAUUGCUAAAAAAAUAAAAAUAAGUAGCACACAUAAAUAAAAUAAAAAUUAUACAACAAGAACAACUUAUAUCUUAUUUUAUCAUGCAAUAAUAAUUAUUUUUUAAAAUAUAUUUUUUUUAAAAAUAAAUUAAUUUUUAAAUUUUUUUUUAAAUUAUAUUUUAUAGUAUUUUUAAAACUAUAAUAAAAAUUAUUUUUAAUAAAAAAUUUUAAUUUCUUUUUUAUUAAAAGCGUUAGUAACACAAUUUCAAACCGCUCAGCAAUUAGAAUCAGAAGAGACCGUAAAAAACAAGUCACUCACCACUGCUUAGACGGAACUUGACAAACCUCGAUAAGGUUUCAAACAUCGGUCCAUCAAAUUCUUGCAUAAACUAAAACACUCGCAAUCCCGAAAUGGCGAGGGAUAGUUGUCUGGCUCGUAUAACUGCUGGCGUUGCUACUGGAGGUGCUAUUGGUGGCGCCGUGGGUAAGUUCUCUCAUCAUAAACCCUAAAACAUCUUCUUGUUCUAGUUUUUAUCAAUACCUGCGCGUCUUGUUAUUGGGUGUGGUUCUUUAAUGCUCCCUAAGUUGUUGUUAUUUAAAUUUCCAAAGUCCACCGAUUUAUCUUCUCAUACAAACACACAAAAUCCAUAAACCAGUUGUCCUAUAAAUUUACGACUUCCAUUGUAUUACGCCUUGAUUUGGGAAAGGGGGAUCGAGGGACUGUUUCUUGAUUGUGAGUGCAAAAGUUGAUCUUUGAAUACCACUUUGUUCACUAUUCUUUGGAAUGCUUUGGUGAAAGAAAUCCUGUACCACUUGAUGUAGACUGGUUUUAGGAGUGCUGUAAAGGGCG